This 497-nucleotide ribosomal RNA is filed under the name uncultured bacterium. RNAcentral's name for it is "partial 16S ribosomal RNA". It matches the Rfam family "Bacterial small subunit ribosomal RNA", at positions 28 to 507 of the family's 1533-position model. The record is from RNAcentral.
GAUGAACGCUGGCGGCGUGCCUAAUACAUGCAAGUCGAGCGAACGGACGAGAAGCUUGCUUCUCUGAUGUUAGCGGCGGACGGGUGAGUAGCACGUGGAUAACCUACCUAUAAGACUGGGAUAACUUCGGGAAACCGGAGCUAAUACCGGAUAAUAUUUUGAACCGCAUGGUUCAAAGGUGAAAGACGGUCUUGCUGUCACUUAUAGAUGGAUCCGCGCUGCAUUAGCUAGUUGGUAAGGUAACGGCUUACCAAGGCAACGAUGCAUAGCCGACCUGAGAGGGUGAUCGGCCACACUGGAACUGAGACACGGUCCAGACUCCUACGGGAGGCAGCAGUAGGGAAUCUUCCGCAAUGGGCGAAAGCCUGACGGAGCAACGCCGCGUGAGUGAUGAAGGUCUUCGGAUCGUAAAACUCUGUUAUUAGGGAAGAACAUAUGUGUAAGUAACUGUGCACAUCUUGACGGUACCUAAUCAGAAAGCCACGGCUAACUACGUG